UACGUAGGUGGCAAGCGUUGUCCGGAUUUACUGGGCGUAAAGAGCGCGCAGGCGGUCGAUUUAGUCGCGUGUGAAAGCCCCCGGCUCAACUGGGGAGGGUCACGCGAUACUGAUCGACUCGAAGGCAGGAGAGGGUAGUGGAAUUCCCGGUGUAGUGGUGAAAUGCGUAGAUAUCGGGAGGAACACCAGUGGCGAAGGCGACUACCUGGCCUGUUCUUGACGCUGAGGCGCGAAAGCUAGGGAAGCAAACGGG
Molecule: ribosomal RNA, 253 nt
Filed under: uncultured bacterium
Lineage: Bacteria
Description: partial 16S ribosomal RNA
Rfam family: Bacterial small subunit ribosomal RNA
Source: RNAcentral